GAGCAAGUCUAUUAUGCCAUGUGUGUGUGUGAUCAAUCUUGGUAGAGGAGAUAAAGGGGUUCACACCUCUAAUCACUUCCCCAGUAGUAAUAUAUAUAUCAUUUUUCUUAAUUCCCUUAAUGGAAACUAAAGCACCCUUGAUCAUUUUUAGCAUACCAUUUCCAAUUUUACCAGUAAAGUCAUCCUUCUCAAGUCUCCCUACUGAAAUCAGAUUCCUA
This 218-nucleotide long non-coding RNA is filed under the name Olea europaea (common olive). RNAcentral describes it as "long non-coding RNA (OEUR_LNC006231)". Lineage: Eukaryota; Viridiplantae; Streptophyta; Magnoliopsida; Lamiales; Oleaceae. The record is from RNAcentral.